AGACGCUGGCGGCGUGCCUGACACAUGCAAGUCGGACGGUUCUUGUACCUUCAAGCUUGCUUGUUGGUGCAAGGAUAGUGGCGGACGGGUGAGUAACGCGUGAACAUCUACCCAUUGGAGGGGGACAACCCGUCGAAAGGCGGGCUAAUACCGCGUAAGCCGCGAGGUGAGAGGCUGCCUAUUGGUGGCCGCCGAUGGAUGGGUUCGCGUCCUAUCAGCUGGUUGGUGGGGUAACGGCCUACCAAGGCGAAGACGGGUAGCCGGCCUGAGAGGGUGAACGGCCACACUGGGACUGAGACACGGCCCAGACUCCUACGGGAGGCAGCAGUGAGGAAUUUUCCGCAAUGGGCGCAAGCCUGACGGAGCGACGCCGCGUGAGGGAUGACGGCCUUCGGGUUGUAAACCUCUUUUAUUAAGGAAAAAGGCAAUCGUGCUAACACCACGGUUGUUUGAUGGUACUUAUUGAAUAAGCCCCGGCUAACUACGUG
RNAcentral lists this ribosomal RNA (488 nucleotides) under uncultured bacterium. RNAcentral's name for it is "bacterial SSU rRNA". It matches the Rfam family "Bacterial small subunit ribosomal RNA", at positions 33 to 507 of the family's 1533-position model. The record is from RNAcentral.